This 468-nucleotide ribosomal RNA is filed under the name uncultured bacterium. RNAcentral's name for it is "partial 16S ribosomal RNA". It matches the Rfam family "Bacterial small subunit ribosomal RNA", at positions 28 to 507 of the family's 1533-position model. The record is from RNAcentral.
GACGAACGCUGGCGGCGUGCUUAACACAUGCAAGUCGAACGGAAAGGCCCUGCUUUUGUUGGGUUCUCGAUUGGCGAACGGGUGAGUAACACGUGAGUAACCUGCCCUUAACUUUGGGAUAACUUCAGGGAACUGGGGCUAAUACCGGAUAGGAGCUCCUGCUGCAUGGUGGUGGUUGGAAAGUUUCGGCGGUUGGGGAUGGACUCGCGGCUUAUCAGCUUGUUGGUGGGGUAGUGGCUUACCAAGGCUUUGACGGGUAGCCGGCCUGAGAGGGUGACCGGGCACAUUGGGCCUGAGAUACGGCCCAGAAUGCUACGGGCGGCAGUAGUGGGGAAUCUUGCAGAACGGGCGGAAGCCUGAUGUAGCAAUGCCGCGUGCGGGAUGCUGGGCUACGGGUUGUAAACAGCUUUCGAAUGUGAUGAAGAGUGCGUGACGGUAAUGGGUCAAGAAGCAACGGCUAACUACGUG